GACAGAGGGUGCAAACGUUGUUCGGAAUUACUGGGCGUAAAGCGUGUGUAGGCGGUCUCAUAAGUCGGAUGUGAAAGCCCCGGGCUCAACCCGGGGAGUGCACUCGAAACUGCGAGGCUAGAGUAUCGGAGAGGUUGGUGGAAUUCUCGGUGUAGAGGUGAAAUUCGUAGAUAUCGAGAGGAACACCGGUGGCGAAGGCGGCCAACUGGACGAAUACUGACGCUGAGACACGAAAGCGUGGGGAGCAAACAGG
Molecule: ribosomal RNA, 253 nt
Filed under: uncultured bacterium
Lineage: Bacteria
Description: partial 16S ribosomal RNA
Rfam family: Bacterial small subunit ribosomal RNA
Source: RNAcentral